GCAAAUCCGGGUGGCAAUGGGAAGCCGUGAUGCGGAGCGAAAUAAAGUAGCGAAGUCCGUGAGCCAUGCGUCAAGAAAAGCCGCUAUCGUUUAUACCGUACCCGUACCGUAAACCGACACAGGUGGAUGAGGAGAGAAUCCUAAGGCCGGCGGAAGAAGCAUUGUCAAGGAACUCGGCAAAAUGGCCCCGUAACUUAGGGAUAAGGGGUGCCUGGGAAACCAGGCCGCAGAGAAUAGGCUCAAGCAACUGUUUAGCAAAAACACAGGUCUAUGCGAAACCGAAAGGUGAGGUAUAUGGGCUGACGCCUGCCCGGUGCUGGAAGGUUAAGAGGAGAGGUUAGCGCAAGCGAAGCUUUGAAUUUAAGCCCCAGUAAACGGCGGCCGUAACAAUAACGGUCCUAAGGUAGCGAAAUUCCUUGUCGGGUAAGUUCCGACCCGCACGAAAGGCGUAAUGAUUUGAGCGCUGUCUCGACAAUGCAUCCGGUGAAAUUGAAGUACCAGUGAAGAUGCUGGUUACCUGCGCCAGGACGGAAAGACCCCAUGGAGCUUUACUCCAGUUUGGUACUGGGACUCGGUAUUGCAUGUACAGGAUAGGUGGGAGGCUAGGAGAUAGUAACGCCAGUUAUUAUGGAGCCGCUGUUGGGAUACCACCUUUGCAGUAUUGGGUUUCUAACCAGCCGCCGUGACCCGGCGGUGGGACAAUGCCAGACGGGGAGUUUGACUGGGGCGGUCGCCUCCGAAAGGGUAUCGGAGGCGCCCAAAGGUUCCCUCAGAAUGGACGGAAACCAUUCGAAGAGUGCAAAGGCAGAAGGGAGCUUGACUGCGACACCGACGGGUGGAGCAGGUACGAAAGUAGGGCUUAGUGAUCCGGUGGUAUUAAGUGGGAAUGCCAUCGCUCAACGGAUAAAAGCUACCCUGGGAUAACAGGCUUAUCACUCCCAAGAGUUCACAUCGACGGAGUGGUUUGGCACCUCGAUGUCGGCUCAUCGCAUCCUGGGGCUGUAGUAGGUCCCAAGGGUUGGGCUGUUCGCCCAUUAAAGCGGUACGCGAGCUGGGUUCAGAACGUCGUGAGACAGUUCGGUCCCUAUCCGGCGUGGGCGUAGGAUAUCUGAGAGGAGCUGUCCUUAGUACGAGAGGACCGGGAUGGACGGGCCGCUGGUGCAUCGGUUAGACUGCCAAGUCUACGGCCGAGUAGCCAAGCCCGGAAGGGAUAAACGCUGAAGGCAUCUAAGCGUGAAGCCCCCCUUAAGAUGAGAUAUCCCAUUCGAAAGAAGUAAACCCCCUUGAAGACGACGAGGUAGAUAGGGCAGAGGUGGAAGUGUGGCAACACAUGGAGCUGACUGUUACUAAUCGGGUGAGGGCUUGACCUG
RNAcentral lists this ribosomal RNA (1370 nucleotides) under metagenome. Its description in RNAcentral is "bacterial LSU rRNA". It matches the Rfam family "Bacterial large subunit ribosomal RNA", at positions 1536 to 2925 of the family's 2925-position model. The record is from RNAcentral.